This 21-nucleotide non-coding RNA is filed under the name Arabidopsis thaliana (thale cress). Lineage: Eukaryota; Viridiplantae; Streptophyta; Magnoliopsida; Brassicales; Brassicaceae. The record is from RNAcentral.
UCGAUUCUGCCAGCAAUUCUC